Molecule: transfer RNA, 64 nt
Filed under: Posthodiplostomum centrarchi
Lineage: Eukaryota; Metazoa; Platyhelminthes; Trematoda; Diplostomida; Diplostomidae
Description: tRNA-Ala
Source: RNAcentral
AACAAUAUAGUUUAAAAAAAAUUUUUACUUUGCGUGUAAAGGAUGGGAUUUGUUCCUAUUGUUG